This 467-nucleotide ribosomal RNA is filed under the name uncultured bacterium. Its description in RNAcentral is "partial 16S ribosomal RNA". It matches the Rfam family "Bacterial small subunit ribosomal RNA", at positions 28 to 507 of the family's 1533-position model. The record is from RNAcentral.
GAUGAACGCUGGCGGCGUGCUUAACACAUGCAAGUCGAACGGAAAGGCCCAAGCUUGCUUGGGUACUCGAGUGGCGAACGGGUGAGUAACACGUGGGUGAUCUGCCCUGCACUUCGGGAUAAGCCUGGGAAACUGGGUCUAAUACCGGAUAGGACCACUUCUUGGAUGUUGUGGGGGAAAGUUUUUUCGGUGUGGGAUGAGCUCGCGGCCUAUCAGCUUGUUGGUGGGGUAAUGGCCUACCAAGGCGUCGACGGGUAGCCGGCCUGAGAGGGUGUACGGCCACAUUGGGACUGAGAUACGGCCCAGACUCCUACGGGAGGCAGCAGUGGGGAAUAUUGCACAAUGGGCGCAAGCCUGAUGCAGCGACGCCGCGUGGGGGAUGACGGCCUUCGGGUUGUAAACUCCUUUCGCUAGGGACGAAGCGUUUUGUGACGGUACCUGGAGAAGAAGCACCGGCUAACUACGUG